This 106-nucleotide long non-coding RNA is filed under the name Monodelphis domestica (gray short-tailed opossum). RNAcentral's name for it is "lncRNA (ENSMODG00000050113.1)". The record is from RNAcentral. Lineage: Eukaryota; Metazoa; Chordata; Mammalia; Didelphimorphia; Didelphidae.
GUCCGGGUACGCCAUCUUUGAGAGCCCCAGGAGUAAUGAUGACACAUGAAGAUAAAGACAAGAGAAAUAGCCAGCCCUGAUCAAAUACAUAUGAAGAAAUGCAUUC